Molecule: long non-coding RNA, 340 nt
Filed under: Mus spicilegus (steppe mouse)
Lineage: Eukaryota; Metazoa; Chordata; Mammalia; Rodentia; Muridae
Description: lncRNA (ENSMSIG00000014619.1)
Source: RNAcentral
GUUCAGUGGAAUUAAAAGCAAGAACUCCAAUUUGUCUUACCUCUUUUUAGGUGUCUGACAGCUGCUCCAUCUCCUGGGGGACCUGGGUGGGGAAAGGAGGAGCCCGAGGUCUCAGGGGUGCUUCCCAUUGCGAGCUGCAGACACCCAGGUGGCAGCAGACGGGCUAUGUCACUGGUUCACAUCUACACAGAGGAAGUGACCGCAGACAAUGGAUUCCAUAUCCCUGACCUGUUCCCUUAGGCACUCCUGGUUGAAAGAGUCUGGUUCUUGGCUGUUUUCCCAGAUGCUGAACAGUGAACCCAGCUCUUCCAUCACAGGAUCCUGGUCAUGACACCCUGAC